RNAcentral lists this ribosomal RNA (303 nucleotides) under uncultured bacterium. RNAcentral describes it as "bacterial SSU rRNA". It matches the Rfam family "Bacterial small subunit ribosomal RNA", at positions 355 to 672 of the family's 1533-position model. The record is from RNAcentral.
UGGGGAAUAUUGGGCAAUGGGCGCAAGCCUGACCCAGCAACGCCGCGUGAAGGAAGAAGGCCCUCGGGUUGUAAACUUCUUUUAUUCGGGACGAAACAAAUGACGGUACCGAAUGAAUAAGCCACGGCUAACUACGUGCCAGCAGCCGCGGUAAUACGUAGGUGGCAAGCGUUAUCCGGAUUUACUGGGUGUAAAGGGCGUGUAGGCGGGAGAGCAAGUCAGACGUGAAAUUCCAGGGCUCAACCCUGGAACUGCGUUUGAAACUGUUCUUCUUGAGUGAUGGAGAGGCAGGCGGAAUUCCGU